RNAcentral lists this ribosomal RNA (465 nucleotides) under uncultured bacterium. RNAcentral describes it as "partial 16S ribosomal RNA". It matches the Rfam family "Bacterial small subunit ribosomal RNA", at positions 28 to 507 of the family's 1533-position model. The record is from RNAcentral.
GACGAACGCUGGCGGCGUGCUUAACACAUGCAAGUCGAACGGAAAGGCCCUGCUUGCAGGGUACUCGAGUGGCGAACGGGUGAGUAACACGUGGGUGAUCUGCCCUGCACUUCGGGAUAAGCCUGGUAAACUGGGUCUAAUACCUGAUAGGAGCUAUAUUGAGUGUGAUGGUUGGAAAGUUUUUUCGGUGUAGGAUGAGCCCGCGGCCUAUCAGCUUGCUGGUGGGGUAAUGGCCUACCAAGGCGGCUGCGGGUAGCCGGCCUGUGAGGGUGGACGGCCACCUUGGGACUGAGAUACGGCCCCGGCUCCUACGGGAGGCCGCAGUGCGGAAUCUUGCCCGAUGGGCGCCAGCCUGAUGCAGCGAGGCCGCGUGGGGGAUGACGGCCUUCGGGUUGUAAACUCAUUUCGCUAGGGACGAAGCUUUUUGUGACGGUACCUAGAUAAGAAGCCCCGGCUAACUACGUG